UACGAAGGGGGCGAGCGUUGUUCGGAUUUACUGGGCGUAAAGGGCGCGUAGGCGGCCUUGUCAGUCAGGCGUGAAAGCCCCGGGCUCAACCUGGGAACGGCGCGCGAGACGGGGGGGCUGGAGUUCGGGAGAGGAGCGUGGAAUUCCCAGUGUAGAGGUGAAAUUCGUAGAUAUUGGGAAGAACACCGGUGGCGAAGGCGGCGCUCUGGACCGAGACUGACGCUGAGGCGCGAAAGCGUGGGGAGCAAACAGG
RNAcentral lists this ribosomal RNA (253 nucleotides) under uncultured bacterium. Its description in RNAcentral is "partial 16S ribosomal RNA". It matches the Rfam family "Bacterial small subunit ribosomal RNA", at positions 524 to 776 of the family's 1533-position model. The record is from RNAcentral.